UUUAUUACUGGAUGUCUCUUAGUGGCGAACGGGUGAGUAACGCGUUGGUGACCUGCCUCGAAGUGUGGAAUAACUCCGGGAAACUGGAGCUAAUACCGCAUGUGGUGUGUGGCUUUAGAAACCACUUACUAAAGGUCUUCGGAUCGCUUCGAGAGGGGCCUGCGUCCCAUCAGCUAGUUGGUAGGGUAAAAGCCUACCAAGGCUAUGACGGGUAGGGGACCUGAGAGGGUGAUCCCCCACAAUGGAACUGAAACACGGUCCAUACACCUACGGGUGGCAGCAGUAGGGAAUAUUGCACAAUGGGCGAAAGCCUGAUGCAGCAACGCCGCGUGUGCGAUGAAGGCCUUCGGGUUGUAAAGCACUUUUCUGAGGGAAGAGGAAGGACUGUACCUCAGGAAUAAGUCUCGGCUAACUACGUGCCAGCAGCCGCGGUAACACGUAGGAGGCAAGCGUUAUCCGGAUUUACUGGGCGUAAAGCGCGUGCAGGCGGUUUGGUAAGUUGGAUGUGAAAGCUCCUGGCUUAACUGGGAGAGGUCGUUCAAUACUGCCAGACUAGAGGACGGUAGAGGAAGGUAGAAUUCCUGGUGUAGUGGUGAAAUGCGUAGAUAUCAGGAGGAAUACCAGAGGCGAGGGCGGCCUUCUGGGCCGUUCCUGACGCUAAGACGCGAAAGCAUGGGUAGCAAACGGGAUUAGAAACCCCGGUUGUCCAUGCUGUAAACGAUGCAAACUUGGUGUUGGUGGUGUAAAAGCCAUCAGUGCCGAAGCUAACGCGAUAAGUUUGCCUCCUGGGGAUUACGGCCGCAAGGUUAAAACUCAAAGGAAUUGACGGGUUCCCGCACAAGCAGCGGAGCGUGUGGUUUAAUUCGAUACUACGUGAAGAACCUUACCUGGGCUUGACAUAUAGGUGGUAGGGAUCCGAAAGGUGACCGACCCUUCGGGGAGCCUAUACAGGUGCUGCAUGGCUGUCGUCAGCUCGUGUCGUGAGAUGUUGGGUUAAGUCCCGCAACGAGCGCAACCCUUGUCCUUAGUUGCCAGCACGUAAUGGUGGGAACUCUAAGGAGACUGCCGGUGACAAACCGGAGGAAGGUGGGGACGACGUCAAGUCAUCAUGGCCCUUAUGGGCUGGGCUACACACGUGCUACAAUGGGCUGUACAGAGGGUCGCGAACCCGCGAGGGGGAGCCAAUCCCACAAAGCAGCUCUUAGUCCGGAUUGCAGUCUGCAACUCGACUGCAUGAAGUUGGAAUCGCUAGUAAUCGUAGAUCAGAACUGCUACGGUGAAUACGUUCCCGGGCCUUGUACACACCGCCCGUCACACCAUGGGAGUGGGUUGCAAAAGAAGUGGCUAGUCUAACCUUCGGGAGGACGGUCACCACUUUGUGAUUCAUGACUGGGGUGAAGUCGUAACAAGGUA
RNAcentral lists this ribosomal RNA (1413 nucleotides) under metagenome. RNAcentral's name for it is "bacterial SSU rRNA". It matches the Rfam family "Bacterial small subunit ribosomal RNA". The record is from RNAcentral.